RNAcentral lists this transfer RNA (66 nucleotides) under Pristionchus pacificus. It matches the Rfam family "tRNA". Rfam says of the family: Transfer RNA (tRNA) molecules are approximately 80 nucleotides in length. Their secondary structure includes four short double-helical elements and three loops (D, anti-codon, and T loops). The record is from Rfam by way of RNAcentral. Lineage: Eukaryota; Metazoa; Nematoda; Chromadorea; Rhabditida; Neodiplogasteridae.
GGUCUUGUGGUGUAGUGGUUAUCACGUCUGCUUCACACGCAGAAGGUUCGAUCCCGGCCAAGACAU